RNAcentral lists this transfer RNA (82 nucleotides) under Parcubacteria group bacterium. Its description in RNAcentral is "tRNA-Leu". It matches the Rfam family "tRNA". Rfam says of the family: Transfer RNA (tRNA) molecules are approximately 80 nucleotides in length. The record is from RNAcentral.
GCCGUGGUGGCGGAAUUGGUAGACGCGCACGACUCAAAAUCGUGUGGAGCAAUCCAUGAGGGUUCGACCCCCUCCCGCGGCA